RNAcentral lists this ribosomal RNA (466 nucleotides) under uncultured bacterium. RNAcentral's name for it is "bacterial SSU rRNA". It matches the Rfam family "Bacterial small subunit ribosomal RNA", at positions 30 to 491 of the family's 1533-position model. The record is from RNAcentral.
AUUGAACGCUGGCGGAAUGCUUUACACAUGCAAGUCGAACGGCAGCACGGGGCAACCUGGUGGCGAGUGGCGAACGGGUGAGUAAUACAUCGGAACGUGCCCAGUCGUGGGGGAUAACGUAGCGAAAGUUACGCUAAUACCGCAUACGAUCUAUGGAUGAAAGCGGGGGAUCGCAAGACCUCGCGCGAUUGGAGCGGCCGAUGUCAGAUUAGGUAGUUGGUGGGGUAAAGGCCUACCAAGCCGACGAUCUGUAGCUGGUCUGAGAGGACGACCAGCCACACUGGGACUGAGACACGGCCCAGACUCCUACGGGAGGCAGCAGUGGGGAAUUUUGGACAAUGGGCGCAAGCCUGAUCCAGCCAUUCCGCGUGCAGGAUGAAGGCCUUCGGGUUGUAACUGCUUUUGUACGGAACGAAAGGACUCUGGUUAAUACCCGGGGCUCGAUGACGGUACCGUAAGAAUAAGC